This 71-nucleotide transfer RNA is filed under the name Toxocara canis (dog roundworm). It matches the Rfam family "tRNA". Rfam says of the family: Transfer RNA (tRNA) molecules are approximately 80 nucleotides in length. Their secondary structure includes four short double-helical elements and three loops (D, anti-codon, and T loops). The record is from Rfam by way of RNAcentral. Lineage: Eukaryota; Metazoa; Nematoda; Chromadorea; Rhabditida; Toxocaridae.
GCGGCAAUAGCUCAGUGGUAGAGCCCCGCUUCGCAUGCGGGGAGGCCUGGGUUCGAUUGCCGGAUGCUUCC